RNAcentral lists this ribosomal RNA (498 nucleotides) under uncultured bacterium. RNAcentral's name for it is "partial 16S ribosomal RNA". It matches the Rfam family "Bacterial small subunit ribosomal RNA", at positions 28 to 507 of the family's 1533-position model. The record is from RNAcentral.
GACGAACGCUGGCGGCGUGCCUAAUACAUGCAAGUCGAACGAGAGCAACCGGUGCUUGCACUGGUCAAUCUAGUGGCGAACGGGUGAGUAACACGUGGGUAACCUGCCCAUCAGAGGGGGAUAACAUCCGGAAACGGAUGCUAAAACCGCAUAGGUCUUCGAACCGCAUGGAUUGAAGAGGAAAAGAGGCGCAAGCUUCUGCUGAUGGAGAGACCCGCGGUGCAUUAGCUCGUUGGUGAGGUAACGGCUCACCAAGGCCGUGAUGCAUAGCCGACCUGAGAGGGUGAUCGGCCACAUUGGGACUGAGACACGGCCCAAACUCCUACGGGAGGCAGCAGUAGGGAAUCUUCCGCAAUGGACGCAAGUCUGACGGAGCCACGCCGCGUGAGUGAAGAAGGUUUUCGGAUCGUAAAACUCUGUUGUUAGGGAAGAACAAGUGCUAGAGUAACUGUUAGCGCCUUGACGGUAUCUAACCAGAAAGCCACGGCUAACUACGUG